Molecule: ribosomal RNA, 439 nt
Filed under: uncultured bacterium
Lineage: Bacteria
Description: partial 16S ribosomal RNA
Rfam family: Bacterial small subunit ribosomal RNA
Source: RNAcentral
CUACGGGGCGCUCCAGUGGGGAAUAUUGCACAAUGGGGGAAACCCUGAUGCAGCAACGCCGCGUGGAGGAUGACGCAUUUCGGUGUGUAAACUCCUUUUAUAUAGGAAGAUAAUGACGGUACUAUAUGAAUAAGCACCGGCUAACUCCGUGCCAGCAGCCGCGGUAAUACGGAGGGUGCAAGCGUUACUCGGAAUCACUGGGCGUAAAGCGCGCGCAGGCGGCCUUUUAAGUUGGAUGUGAAAGCCUAUGGCUUAACCAUAGAACUGCAUCCAAAACUAUCAGGCUAGAGUCUGGGAGGGGAAGAUGGAAUUAGUUGUGUAGGGGUAAAAUCCGUAGAGAUAACUAGGAAUACAAAAAGCGAAGGCGAUCUUCUGGAACAGUACUGACGCUGAGGCGCGAAAGCGUGGGGAGCAAACAGGAUUAGAUACCCCUGUAGUC